RNAcentral lists this ribosomal RNA (404 nucleotides) under uncultured Sphingomonadales bacterium. RNAcentral describes it as "bacterial SSU rRNA". It matches the Rfam family "Bacterial small subunit ribosomal RNA", at positions 355 to 776 of the family's 1533-position model. Lineage: Bacteria; Pseudomonadati; Pseudomonadota; Alphaproteobacteria; Sphingomonadales. The record is from RNAcentral.
UGGGGAAUAUUGGACAAUGGGCGCAAGCCUGAUCCAGCAAUGCCGCGUGAGUGAUGAAGGCCUUAGGGUCGUAAAGCUCUUUUACCAGGGAUGAUAAUGACAGUACCUGGAGAAUAAGCUCCGGCUAACUCCGUGCCAGCAGCCGCGGUAAUACGGAGGGAGCUAGCGUUGUUCGGAAUUACUGGGCGUAAAGCGCGCGUAGGCGGCGAACCAAGUCAGGGGUGAAAUCCCGGGGCUCAACCCCGGAACUGCCUUUGAAACUAGUUUGCUAGAAUCUUGGAGAGGUCAGUGGAAUUCCGAGUGUAGAGGUGAAAUUCGUAGAUAUUCGGAAGAACACCAGUGGCGAAGGCGACUGACUGGACAAGUAUUGACGCUGAGGUGCGAAAGCGUGGGGAGCAAACAGG